GCCCGCGCCUCCUGCGCGCGACACGGUUUCGUGGCCUCGGGGCCUGGGCUGUUUCUUCCCGGAAAGGACGGGGACUCCCCGCUAGCCACCUUAAGGCGGGACGUGUGGGAUCUCCAGCCUAGUCGCAGGAGCAGAUGGUGAGUGAUAACAGUUCUGUUUCUUGACUUGUGGAGAUAGAUGGUCACAUGUGAUAUCUACACAUGUGAUAAAAUUGCAUAGGACUAAACACACAUAAGUACAUGUGUGAAUGUAAAAAUGGUGAAAUCUGAAUAAGUUUCAGAGGCUGGAAAUCCAAAGUCCAGGGAAUGCAUCUGAUGAAGGCUUUGUUUGGUGUGACUUCAGUGACGACCGAGCAUCACAUUGAGAAAAUGGUGGACCACAGAGAGGCGAGAUUAACCUCAUUCACUGUCUUUCUAAAGCCCUCCAAACCACACCCAUGACCAACAUUUUUAAUCAAUUCACUACAGCAUGGUCCUACAGUCUAAUCACU
Molecule: long non-coding RNA, 490 nt
Organism: Galeopterus variegatus (Sunda flying lemur)
Lineage: Eukaryota; Metazoa; Chordata; Mammalia; Dermoptera; Cynocephalidae
Exons: 3
Source: RefSeq, a predicted model, not a curated record